Molecule: non-coding RNA, 24 nt
Filed under: Arabidopsis thaliana (thale cress)
Lineage: Eukaryota; Viridiplantae; Streptophyta; Magnoliopsida; Brassicales; Brassicaceae
Source: RNAcentral
UCCUAUUGACAUUGUUGGAGGUCU